GAUGAACGCUGGCGGCGUGCUUAACACAUGCAAGUCGAACGGUGAAGGCGGAUCUUGCUCUUCUGGAUCAGUGGCGAACGGGUGAGUAACACGUGAGCAAUCUUCCUCUGACUCUGGGAUAAGCGCUGGAAACGGCGUCUAAUACUGAAUACUUUCUUCGCAUGCAUCUUCAGCAGCUGGAAAGAACUUCGGUCAGGGAUGAGCUCGCGGCCUAUCAGAUUGUUGGUGAGGUAACGGCUCACCAAGGCGUCGACGGGUAGCCGGCCUGAGAGGGUGACCGGCAAAACUGGGACUGAGACACGGGACGGAGUCCUAAGGAAGGCAGCAGUGGGGGAUAUUGCCCGAUGGGGGAAAGCCUGAUGAAGCACGGCCGCGUGAGGGACGACGGCCUUCGGGUUGUAAACCACUUUUAGAAGGGAAGAAGAGAAAGUGACGGUACCUGAAGAAAAAGCGCCGGCUAACUACGUG
Molecule: ribosomal RNA, 468 nt
Filed under: uncultured bacterium
Lineage: Bacteria
Description: partial 16S ribosomal RNA
Rfam family: Bacterial small subunit ribosomal RNA
Source: RNAcentral